RNAcentral lists this ribosomal RNA (639 nucleotides) under uncultured bacterium. RNAcentral's name for it is "bacterial SSU rRNA". It matches the Rfam family "Bacterial small subunit ribosomal RNA", at positions 61 to 723 of the family's 1533-position model. The record is from RNAcentral.
GUCGACGAGAGAUUGCUAGCUUGCUAAUAAUUCUCUAGUGGCGCACGGGUGAGUAACACGUGAGUAACCUGCCCCCGAGAGCGGGAUAGCCCUGGGAAACUGGGAUUAAUACCGCAUAGUAUCGAAAGAUUAAAGCAGCAAUGCGCUUGGGGAUGGGCUCGCGGCCUAUUAGUUAGUUGGUGAGGUAACGGCUCACCAAGGCGAUGACGGGUAGCCGGUCUGAGAGGAUGUCCGGCCACACUGGAACUGAGACACGGUCCAGACACCUACGGGUGGCAGCAGUCGAGAAUCAUUCACAAUGGGGGAAACCCUGAUGGUGCGACGCCGCGUGGGGGAAUGAAGGUCUUCGGAUUGUAAACCCCUGUCAUGUGGGAGCAAAUUAAAAAGAUAGUACCACAAGAGGAAGAGACGGCUAACUCUGUGCCAGCAGCCGCGGUAAUACAGAGGUCUCAAGCGUUGUUCGGAAUCACUGGGCGUAAAGCGUGCGUAGGCUGUUUCGUAAGUCGUGUGUGAAAGGCGCGGGCUCAACCCGCGGACGGCACAUGAUACUGCGAGACUAGAGUAAUGGAGGGGGAACCGGAAUUCUCGGUGUAGCAGUGAAAUGCGUAGAUAUCGAGAGGAACACUCGUGGCGAAGGCG